GAAGUGUUGGACUAUAGUAGACGAACGGUUGACAAUCGGGUAAUUUAGACGUGGAUUAUUAGAACAGAGUUCAACAAGGUAUGUAGUUGAUUUGUGCGUGGGCGGUGGUGUUGCAAUAUUGGUUCAUCACGUCAGCUGCAGAGACAGGUGCCUACUUUGCUUGCUACAAUCCAUCUGACAACGGAAUGUCGUAUAUUGGUCCAAAAUCAGAGUCAAGAAAAGGCAACAAGUGUUUAUCACAGACAAACGGUGAAAUCUCUUAUUGCAGAAAUCUCGACAACUCGUCAUCAUGUCCUUAGUGCAAGACAAGUAACAGCAAAAAGGAAAUCUGCGAUGUAGAUUCAUGUUAUGGAUAUUCCAUCAAUUUGAAAAAUGUUACAACGCUUUCCUCUCGACCGCUCACGAGUCAGGAAAACCCUUUCUAUUAAGCCUUGCUACAGAUGGAAAUGUAGGAAAAAACGGAGACAGUGCUUUGUAACAAUGAUGCGAAAUAAGAUUGCUUGGUGGAGGGCAGAUUUAGAAAAGGACAUUGUCAUCAAGAUUGUCGGAUUAUACGUCAUAGACCCGUGAAAAAGUGUUGAACAAAUUUAAAUUGAACUUUCCAGGUCUAACAAUAGCGAUUUAUAUAUUUCCUGUGGAGACCCAUGGAUACGCAACACUUCAGUGGAUGUUAUUGGCUAUCGCAAAUGUGCCGUUGGCAAUGCAAUAAGAGCACGGUACGUCCGUGUAAAGAGCAGUUUGAAAAUUGACGGUAUAUCUGUACUUAUUUUGUGUGAAAUGCAGAUAAAUGGCGGUAUUACACCUAUAAGACAGUGUAGACAUCGUGACUUUCUCUCAGACAAAGCUAAACCCUUUAGCAAAACUUUACGCAAAGAUUCGUUGGAAAUUCAAUGCAGUAAAGUCUACUGACCACGUUCAGUACAAAAGUUGACGUGUCAAAACUGUGG
Molecule: long non-coding RNA, 947 nt
Organism: Corticium candelabrum
Lineage: Eukaryota; Metazoa; Porifera; Homoscleromorpha; Homosclerophorida; Plakinidae
Exons: 4
Source: RefSeq, a predicted model, not a curated record